Molecule: long non-coding RNA, 453 nt
Organism: Lycium ferocissimum
Lineage: Eukaryota; Viridiplantae; Streptophyta; Magnoliopsida; Solanales; Solanaceae
Exons: 3
Source: RefSeq, a predicted model, not a curated record
AAAAUAAUUCAAUUAUGAAAGUAAAAUCAAAUGUACUAACUAGGAAGUGCGUCUCCCAGGGGUGAAUCUGAAAACUCAAACUAGGAAGUGCGUCUCCUAGAUCAAAAACCAAAAAGACCCAGAAUAAGAAGUGCGUCUCUUAGGGGUUAAACUGAAAGACUCGACUAGGAAGUGUGUCUCCUAGGAGUAAAGGUUUGCAUUAGGAAAUGCGUCUCCUAAAGUAAAAACCAGAAAGACCCAGACUAAGAAGUGCGUCUCUUAGGGGUUAAACUGAAAUACUCAACUAGGAAGUGCAUCUCCUAGGAUUAAAGGUUUGCAUUAGGAAGUACGUUUCCUAAAGUCAAAAACCAGAAAGACCCAGACUAGGAAAUGCAUCUCUUCGGGGUUAGACUAAAAGACUCGACUAGGAAGUGCGUCUCCUAGGAGUAUAGGUUUGCAUUAGGAAGUGCGUCU